AGAGUUUGAUCCUGGCUCAGAUUGAACGCUGGCGGCAGGCUUAACACAUGCAAGUCGAGCGGUAACAGAGAUAGCUUGCUAUCUGCUGACGAGCGGCGGACGGGUGAGUAAUGCUUGGGAAUAUGCCUUAUGGUGGGGGACAACAGUUGGAAACGACUGCUAAUACCGCAUAACGUCUACGGACCAAAGGGGGGGAUCUUCGGACCUCUCGCCAUUUGAUUAGCCCAAGUGAGAUUAGCUAGUUGGUGAGGUAAAGGCUCACCAAGGCGACGAUCUCUAGCUGGUUUGAGAGGAUGAACAGCCACACUGGGACUGAGACACGGCCCAGACUCCUACGGGAGGCAGCAGUGGGGAAUAUUGCACAAUGGGCGAAAGCCUGAUGCAGCCAUGCCGCGUGUGUGAAGAAGGCCUUCGGGUUGUAAAGCACUUUCAGUUGUGAGGAAAGGGAUGUAGUUAAUAGCUGCAUUCUGUGACGUUAACAACAGAAGAAGCACCGGCUAACUUCGUGCCAGCAGCCGCGGUAAUACGAGGGGUGCAAGCGUUAAUCGGAAUUACUGGGCGUAAAGCGUUCGUAGGCGGUCUAUUAAGCAAGAUGUGAAAGCCCAGGGCUCAACCUUGGAACUGCAUUUUGAACUGGUAGACUAGAGUACUGUAGAGGGUGGUGGAAUUUCCAGUGUAGCGGUGAAAUGCGUAGAGAUUGGAAGGAACAUCAGUGGCGAAAGCGGCCACCUGGACAGAUACUGACGCUGAGGAACGAAAGCGUGGGGAGCGAACAGGGAUUAGAUACCUGUAGUCACGCCGUAAACGAUGUCAACUAGCCGUUUGUGGACUUGAAUCCGGUGGAGGUGGGGCGCA
Molecule: ribosomal RNA, 855 nt
Filed under: uncultured bacterium
Lineage: Bacteria
Description: bacterial SSU rRNA
Rfam family: Bacterial small subunit ribosomal RNA
Source: RNAcentral